This 73-nucleotide transfer RNA is filed under the name Sphaerodactylus townsendi. Its description in RNAcentral is "tRNA-Val". It matches the Rfam family "tRNA". Rfam says of the family: Transfer RNA (tRNA) molecules are approximately 80 nucleotides in length. Their secondary structure includes four short double-helical elements and three loops (D, anti-codon, and T loops). Lineage: Eukaryota; Metazoa; Chordata; Lepidosauria; Squamata; Sphaerodactylidae. The record is from RNAcentral.
GGAGGCUGUGGCUCAGUGGUUGAACAUCUGUUUGACAUUCAGAAGUUCUGAGGUUCAAUCUCCAGCAUCUUCA